CGAGUUGGCCGGGCGGCCGCGGCUCGCGUGAGCGGGUCGAGGAAAGUCCGGACUUCACAGAGCAGGGUGAUUGCUAACAGCAAUCCGAGGUGACUCGCGGGAUAGUGCCACAGAAAACAGACCGCCACCGUCAGGUGGUAAGGGUGAAACGGUGCGGUAAGAGCGCACCAGCGUCCCGGGUGACCGGGACGGCUCGGUAAACCCCACCCGAAGCAAGGCCAAGAAGGCCGCAUCUCGGUGCGGUCGCGCAGGCGCCUGAGGGCUGCUCGCUCGAGCCUGCGGGUAGGCCGCUUGAGGUACCCGGCGACGGUGUGCCCAGAUGGAUGGUCGCCGCCGCAUCGCAUCGCGGUGCGGAACAGAAUCCGGCUUACAGGCCAACUCGUCCG
Molecule: non-coding RNA, 386 nt
Organism: Mycobacterium kumamotonense
Lineage: Bacteria; Bacillati; Actinomycetota; Actinomycetes; Mycobacteriales; Mycobacteriaceae
Source: Rfam